Molecule: long non-coding RNA, 4262 nt
Filed under: Brassica napus (rape)
Lineage: Eukaryota; Viridiplantae; Streptophyta; Magnoliopsida; Brassicales; Brassicaceae
Description: long non-coding RNA (BNAP_LNC019318)
Source: RNAcentral
UCUUCGUGUCCUUCUUGCCGCCAGGUCUUGGUGGUUGCCAGGUGUCAAAAAUGUGGCGGCGUACCCGGUAGCUCAAGCUCAGGAUCCGAAUCCGAUACCCGGGUCAAGCAACGUGAAGAUGAACCUAAUAAUAGCUUCUUGCCUUGAUUCCUUUUUUUUAGACUUUUCCUUUUUACACAUUACAAUAAUAUAUAAUUAAAAAGUAUUCCUUAUCAUUUUAGAGGAUAAUGGUAAUCUGUCAUGUGUAAAUAUAUAUAUUUAUUGUAAAUGUAUUAUUAUGUGUAUGUAAUGGAAAGUUAAUGUCAUUGAACACUUUUUUUCUUUUUUAUAUUGCAAAGUAAUUAAUUUUUAUCAAUAUAUCGUGUUAUGGAUAUCGACGUGAUUUGUGAACAAACUAGAGACCAUGAAACAGUUGCAAGAACUUGGAACUUGGACGUUGGACCACACAAUUCGUACGUAACUACAACCCAAAUCAACUACCAGAACUUUAAAAUUUGGUACCGAACCGAACAACCAGAUAUGCUUGAAUGUAUUUAUUAACGAGAAUAUGCGAUGGUAACGUGAAUGUAUUAAUUAUGUUACCGACUUUCUACGUUUUAGAUGGUUUUGUGUCGUGACAAUAUUAUAUAGUAAUCCUUUUUUUUUGUCACUGAUAUUAUAUAGUAAUCCUAAAUGAAUUAAGUGCACUUAAAAAAAAACUAAUAAUAAUAGUAAUCAUUUGGAUAGAAAACGCCAGUUCUGUAUAUAUUCCCUCGUAGCACAAUUUGGUUCAUUGGAUAGAAAACGCCAGUUCUGUAUAUAUUUUUUAUGUAAGAAAUCAAUGACGUAGCAUUCGCCUUGUAGUUUAAUUUACGCUUGGUUUAAUUUACGUCUAAGUUCAUGUAUAGAAGCAUCAACGGACUCAAUUAACACAAUUGAAUGUUGGUUGUUCGUUGCUACUUAUUUGAUUAACUUAUGGAAUAUUCGAUAGAACAUAUGGAAAAGUAGACAGAUGGACCAUUGUCCGUGGAACAGAUGGUGUGAUGUGUUUUGUGUGAGUUUUCUCUUUUUCCCUUUUCCAUUGAUAAAGCAUCAAACAAAUUGUUGGGGUUUAUAUUAUUUAAUUUAUUCAUUGAGUAAUUUAUGAAUGUUGGGAUCUCGAGCCUGUAUCCCACUAAACUAUCAAACGCGAGUUUAAAUUAUUAGCAUUAGGACUUCGGAAAUGACCAUGAAGAUGGUCUUAUUUUGUCGUCGAACAUUGACCUAACAAAAGAUCGCCAAGAUCCUAGAGUACAACUUAAGUGCGAAUUAAGACAAGGAGAAAGUAUUUGAUAAUAGUUAGUCAAGAUGUAGAUAAUCAAUCACACACAUGAAAAAUAAUAGUUAGUCAAGAUGUAGAUAUGGAUUGUUAUCUUUCUACCGAUCUACGUGUAGCCAUCAAAUAAAACACGUACGAAUAAUGAUGGUCCACCAUCGCGAGCUAUCAUCAUUCAUCACGAGUUUUUCCACUAUGGAAAGUGCUGCUCAGCGUUCAAGUGCUAAGUGAUAACCUUAUUUAAUCGUAUAACUUAUAGCGUGUAUAGAAAUUUCGUAAUAAGAGUUAACUAAAUUGCAAAAUAUCCAUCAAUUUAGACCCCAAAAAAAUAUCCACCAAUUAAUGCUCUAAGUCUUCAAAAUUGAACCGGUAUUUAAUGCUGUAAGUCUUCAAAAUUUUCGAGCUGAAAGCGAGCUACCACUACUAACUCAAAGUGGUUGUUUUAAGACAUAUUUGGGUUAGUGGUAAUAGCUCGAUUCAGUUUUCAUAAUAGACUAAUUGACAUUACCUCUAUUUUUUUGGGUAAGACAUUACCUUUUCUCACUGACAUCUUCCAAUUCAUACAUAUUCUACUCGAAACUGACUAAUGUCGAAUCACCAAGACGGAUAAAUAAUAUUAUUAAAAUCGUGGUGUGGUAUUUAAUAUCGAAAUUGAAGUAUUCCCUUAUAUAAUACAGUAUACUAUUGUAUUAUGUACGUGCAUGCAUGUGCCUGAUCUGUUACCUUGUCCCUUGGCUUUAUUUCCAUGGAUAGAUGAUAGCAUUAUUUUGCCUAGCUCUCAAAUAAUAUUACUAAAAUGCUAGCUAUACUACUUAUGAAUAUUUAUUUCUUUUGUAUAUCGCAAAGAAAUAGUAGGAAGUCGAAAGUGAAGAGCUGCUCUUUUGGUUUGUUAAAAGUAAAAAGUAUAAUUUCUCAGUGAAAAAUGAUGAAACUGAUAUUCCAAAUCUGGCCGGAGAUUCGCUGGUUGAUUCGUAGCUAGUGGUGGUAUAGCUGAACAAAAUCAUUAUCGGUUGAGUAUAUAUAAUAUAUAUGUGUGUGCGUGAAGGUUUAAGAAAGUGUACAAUUUUUUUGACGCAUUAGAGCACUUCCAACGGGAGUUUUACAUGUUAGAGUUCUUAGCGGAAUAUAAAAACUCCACUUUAAGAACCUUUCAUUAAUCAUGCUGUAAAGAUUGAUAUGUGUAUAAGUAUAUAUCGUAUAUGUGUAUCAAGAUGUGGGGUUCAUUAUAUUGUGGAGAACCCUUCCUAUUAAUCAUUCUUUAAAAGUUUAUAUGUGUAUAAGUAUAUGUUGUACUAGGGUCGAUCCGGGCUACGCCCGGGAUUUUUUGUUUAAAUUUAAAUGUUGAUUGUAUAUUAUUAUGUUUAUUUUAUUUAUAAAUAUUAUAAUCUAUUAUAAAAAAUAUAAGUAGCCAAACAAUUAUAAAAUCAAUUUAAAUUAUUCAUUGUUCAAUUACGCAUUUUAAUAUUUUUAAUAUCUAUUUUUUUUAUUAGAAAUUAUAUAUAAGGUGAUGAGUAGAAUAAACAAAAAUUAUUAUUAUUUAGUUAUGGUGUUUAAUUGAUUAUGUCGAAUAAGGUGAUACUGUGUCGUUUAGGAGUGAUAGAGAUGUAAAGUGUGUGCUGAUUUGAUGUUAUACCUAUUAGAGUGUGUGUUGUUUCUGUGUUGACUCUUGAGAAUGUGUGUUGUUUUAAUGACUUUAACUAAACGUGUUUGUCAUCUUACAUAGGAUCCACAUAAAACCUAAAUUUCUUUACACAAACAUUUCUUUUCACGCCGUAAACUAAUUCUCUCAACUAAACUCAUCUCUUUCAAACGCCAAAGCAACCCUUUGACUCUCUGCAAAUCAGAAACCGUAAACUCAUCCCUAUCAAAUCUUGACUCUGCGUAAAUCGAAAGCAAGCAUUUUUUUUUUUUCUUUUGACUUUUUGAACUUUUUUUCGGAUAACCCGCUAGACCCGCUUGAUUGAUGCGGGGCGGGUGCGGUUAUCGAAAUCCGGUCAUGCGGGUCUUGCGGGUAUAAUUUUCAAGUGAAAAAAUGAGUUUAACCCGCGGCGGGGCGGGUUGAGCGGGCGGAUCCGACCUGCUUCCCAGGCCUAAUCAUGGGUCUAGAGGAAACAGCAGGAUUGAAACAGUUACCAACGGCGUUAGGAUGCGUCUCCGUUCUUCACUGCUGUCGUAUUAGGGUUAGCAAAACUCAGACUUAUCCGGCCAGUUACGCUUUCUUUAUCACAGCCCAAUAACAUGUAAAAUAACGAAGCCCAAUAAGAUGAUGUUAAUGAAACGCUGCGUUUCUUCUCCUUGGACACGUGGCAGCACUACAAACCUCGACUUUCUGACAUGGCGCUGACGUGGAUGCACAUGAGUGAAGCAAACAUAUUUUCAUAGUCAUCAUAGCAGCUCUCCUCUGCGCACUGAUUUGCGUCCUCGGCUUAGUCGCCGUCUCUCGAUGCUCCUGGCUUCGUCGCAUCGCUGCCAGUAGGAGCUCCGCCGCGAACUCCGAUCAGAAUCACCAACCGCCGGUAGCUGCGGCCAACAAAGGAUUGAAAAAGAAAGUUCUCCGAUCGCUGCCGAAGCUCACAUACUCGCCGGAUUCUCCUCCGGCGGAGAAACUGGCCGAGUGCGCGAUCUGCCUGAUGGAGUUCGCCGCCGGCGAUGAGCUCAGAGUGUUGCCCCAGUGCGGUCACGGUUUCCACGUUACGUGUAUCGACACGUGGCUUGGAUCUCACUCUUCGUGUCCUUCUUGCCGCCAGGUCUUGGUGGUUGCCAGGUGUCAAAAAUGUGGCGGCGUACCCGGUAGCUCAAGCUCAGGAUCCGAAUCCGAUACCCGGGUCAAGCAACGUGAAGAUGAACCUAAUAAUAGCUUCUUGCCUUGAUUCCUUUUUUUUAGACUUUUCCUUUUUACACAUUACAAUAAUAUAUAAUUAAAAAGUAUUCCUUAUCAUUUUAGAGGAUAAUGGUAAUCUGUCAUGUG